Drosophila sechellia is the source of this 454-nucleotide long non-coding RNA. RefSeq lists it as uncharacterized. Lineage: Eukaryota; Metazoa; Arthropoda; Insecta; Diptera; Drosophilidae. The transcript is spliced from 3 exons. The record is from RefSeq and is a predicted model, not a curated record.
AAUCACAUGUACAUAUAGGGUCUGCCCUAUGUGCCGCACGUGUGCUUCGCGGAUCAGAAGGUGCACACCUCCUCCGUGGAAUCCUGCUUCACAUUCGUCCAGGUCAAGGAGUGCUGCUGUGCUGAGAUCUGGAUCAAGAAGUGGCGACACAUUUCCGGCAGUUCUCGUGGCCAGCACGUGCCAAAUGUGUUGGUGCUGCUGAUAUUAAACCUGCUUUCCGCAUUCAGUAUACUCAGCUGCCGACGAAGGAGGCGAAUAUUUUGCCAAAGCUAAGAAAUGGAAGUCACCAUGUGAGAAACCUUGUUGUACAGCAUGAAGUCAGUCAUAGGGAAGUAGGAUCUAGUCGUAGUAGCAUUCAAAUAAGUGUACUUAGUUCAACAAAUGUCCAGUGGUAAUCAAACUUACUUGCUAAGCAUAUAUUUAAGCGUUAAUAAAUACACGUUUAUAAUGCUAA